Molecule: long non-coding RNA, 716 nt
Filed under: Homo sapiens (human)
Lineage: Eukaryota; Metazoa; Chordata; Mammalia; Primates; Hominidae
Description: non-protein coding lnc-LAMB3-1:5
Source: RNAcentral
AUGAUGAUGUGCUGGAGCCAGUACACAGGCUUGAGAGAGCCGGGGGUGUCCAUCUCUUCCCAAUCCACAUGCCGUGAUGUCCUGUUGGUGACUCGAAGUUGGCCACAGUGGACCUGAAAUCCAGCCCACACUCUGCUCACCACCCUGUGGGCCUUGUCCCAGGACUCAUCCCUUCUCUUCUGGAGCCAUUUCCAAUUCUGCCCAAAAGGACAGCCUGAAGUGCUGGACCCUGGGUACCUGGCUGAAGACUUUGGACUUUAACCUGGAGAUGAUGGAGAGUAUGCAGGAUAAAGUCCAUACCAAAUCCAACGCCUAGCAAAUGGAGAACAAGCCAAAACUAACAAGAUAAAAUGUAGCAGGAAAAAGUGCAAAGAGCUGAAGUGUGGAAUAAGUGGGAGAGGUCUGCCAUGCCCUAUCUGACCUUGCUGCCAUGAUCUUUAAGGCUGUGUGUCCUGGUUGGUGCAGCUACAAGAUGGCAGAAAUGCCUAAGUGAUGGUAUGGAACAGAGGAUCCCUCUUCUCACCAUUGUCUUGCAUGUUUCCUUGUGUGAACCACAAAUAAACUUUUGUUAUGUUAAGCUGCUGAGAUUUUGUGUUUGAUUUAUUACUGUAGCAAAGCAUAUCCUAAAGUAUUAGCUCUGUGAUCUUGUGCAAGCUACUUAAUGGUGACGUUGUAAAAAGGGGAGUAUAAGAUCUUCCUGAAAGAGUCAUCUUAAA